Molecule: ribosomal RNA, 801 nt
Filed under: uncultured bacterium
Lineage: Bacteria
Description: bacterial SSU rRNA
Rfam family: Bacterial small subunit ribosomal RNA
Source: RNAcentral
CUACCAUGCAGUCGAGCGGCAGCGACAACAUUGAACCUUCGGGGGAUUUGUUGGGCGGCGAGCGGCGGACGGGUGAGUAAUGCCUGGGAAAUUGCCCUGAUGUGGGGGAUAACCAUUGGAAACGAUGGCUAAUACCGCAUGAUAGCUUCGGCUCAAAGAGGGGGACCUUCGGGCCUCUCGCGUCAGGAUAUGCCCAGGUGGGAUUAGCUAGUUGGUGAGGUAAGGGCUCACCAAGGCGACGAUCCCUAGCUGGUCUGAGAGGAUGAUCAGCCACACUGGAACUGAGACACGGUCCAGACUCCUACGGGAGGCAGCAGUGGGGAAUAUUGCACAAUGGGCGCAAGCCUGAUGCAGCCAUGCCGCGUGUAUGAAGAAGGCCUUCGGGUUGUAAAGUACUUUCAGCAGUGAGGAAGGAGGUAUCGUUAAUAGCGGUAUCUUUUGACGUUAGCUGCAGAAGAAGCACCGGCUAACUCCGUGCCAGCAGCCGCGGUAAUACGGAGGGUGCGAGCGUUAAUCGGAAUUACUGGGCGUAAAGCGCAUGCAGGUGGUUUGUUAAGUCAGAUGUGAAAGCCCGGGGCUCAACCUCGGAAUUGCAUUUGAAACUGGCAGCUAGAGUACUGUAGAGGGGGGUAGAAUUUCAGUGUAGCGUGAAAUGCGUAGAGAUCUGAAGGAUACCGGUGGCGAGCGCCCCUGACAGAUACUGAACACUCAGAUGCGAAAGCGUGGGGGAGCAAACAGGAUUAGAUACCCUGGUAGUCCACCGCCGUAAACGAUUGUCUAACUUGGAGGUGUGUGCCUUGA